AGCAAUACGUCAGCGGCAGACGGGUGAGUAACGCGUGGGAACGUACCUUUUGGUUCGGAACAACACAGGGAAACUUGUGCUAAUACCGGAUAAGCCCUUACGGGGAAAGAUUUAUCGCCGAAAGAUCGGCCCGCGUCUGAUUAGCUAGUUGGUGAGGUAAUGGCUCACCAAGGCGACGAUCAGUAGCUGGUCUGAGAGGAUGAUCAGCCACAUUGGGACUGAGACACGGCCCAAACUCCUACGGGAGGCAGCAGUGGGGAAUAUUGGACAAUGGGGGCAACCCUGAUCCAGCCAUGCCGCGUGAGUGAUGAAGGCCCUAGGGUUGUAAAGCUCUUUUGUGCGGGAAGAUAAUGACGGUACCGCAAGAAUAAGCCCCGGCUAACUUCGUGCCAGCAGCCGCGGUAAUACGAAGGGGGCUAGCGUUGCUCGGAAUCACUGGGCGUAAAGGGUGCGUAGGCGGGUCUUUAAGUCAGGGGUGAAAUCCUGGAGCUCAACUCCAGAACUGCCUUUGAUACUGAAGAUCUUGAGUCCGGGAGAGGUGAGUGGAACUGCGAGUG
Molecule: ribosomal RNA, 557 nt
Filed under: Bradyrhizobium sp.
Lineage: Bacteria; Pseudomonadati; Pseudomonadota; Alphaproteobacteria; Hyphomicrobiales; Nitrobacteraceae
Description: bacterial SSU rRNA
Rfam family: Bacterial small subunit ribosomal RNA
Source: RNAcentral